Molecule: unclassified non-coding RNA, 363 nt
Filed under: Hevea brasiliensis (rubber tree)
Lineage: Eukaryota; Viridiplantae; Streptophyta; Magnoliopsida; Malpighiales; Euphorbiaceae
Source: RNAcentral
UAAAAUUGUAUUGAAUUAAGUCGAAAUUAGAUUGGAUGAAUUUUAGUUUGGUUCAGUCUGAUUUUAAUCAAAACUAGAUUUUUCAAUUUUUAGAAAAUAAAAGAUUAAAAUUUAUUUUAUCAUUGAAUUUGAUCAAACCAAAUAAAUUGAAUCAGAAUUGAACUUAAUCAAAUUGAAAUCAGACUAGAAAAUAGAAUUGAGAUCAAAACUAAUCAGACUUCUUUGUCCGAUUCCGAGCUCUCAACCCUUCAAAUUGAAACUAUCAAACCAGUUUCAAUCCGGAAUCAAACCGGACCCACAUCUAGAUAGAUAUAUAGAUAGAUGGAGAAAAGGGUAAGCAUUAGAUUUGUAUGGAAGAGAAAA